AGAGAAAACAGGUUCAGGGAGGUUAAGUGAUUUGCUUAAGGUCACACAGCACAUUCCAAAGUUAUUUAUGGAAGCACAGCCUACUUUGGGGUGGGGGAAGGGAGGCUGCGUUCUGGUUAAAUGUUAGACUUUUACCAAAAGGAGAAAACAAAGAGGCAAACCAAAAGAGAAAUUCCACAGAGAGUAAAUUGUGCUCUGCACAGGGACUUUUGCGAGAACUCUGGGAAAUAAGGCAUGCGCUCUCUCUCUCUCUGUCUUCUGGGACCAGCCAACAGGGAGGACAUGAGCCUGGAGCCGCCAAAGGCCACCACGCGAAGGGCGCCCAAGAGAGAGAAGGCAGAACAGAGACUGGGAGCUCCCCACUCAUCUCUGUCGCUCCAGGGCCUGGAGCUUGGCUCACCUGGUGGCAAAACCUUGUCCCAACGCCACUUAGAGAAUAAUCCAUAUUUUCUUUACUCAUCUGAAAUGGUGCUGCAUCCUCAAAAUUCCCCUGGCCUGUUUUUGGAUUUUCUGCUCUGUUCCAUGACAUCUGUUUCGUCAGGGGCCGUUUCAGUUGGUGAUCCCUGAUUUGGAGGAAUACUUCUGUGCUGUUUAACAAGGAAGCUGUAGUCAUCAAUAGCUUGGACCCUCGAGCCUUCAGUUUGAAUUACUGACUCCAGCAGCGACUUCAACUCUCUGCCUCAGUUUCUUCAUCUGUAAGUGACAUAAACUGAGGUAAACAUCAGUGACCAACACCUCUCCUAAGGGGCCAAGGGUCCCAACCCAAGUAGCAGAGGUGGCAGGGACAGCAGCAGCAGGGCCCCGACGGCGAGGGAGCGGGCCUGGCCCG
Long non-coding RNA from Mirounga angustirostris (Northern elephant seal), 829 nucleotides. RefSeq lists it as uncharacterized. The transcript is spliced from 4 exons. The record is from RefSeq and is a predicted model, not a curated record. Lineage: Eukaryota; Metazoa; Chordata; Mammalia; Carnivora; Phocidae.